AACUGCACCCCAGCAAGAGGGACUGCCCCACAUCUGCAACCAAAUCCGUCGGUCACCGAAUUCAGUAAUCUCCGUCUCUUUGUGCAUUGUCUCUGACAAGCAUUCUCCUAUGGGACACGAAGUACAUGAAGAGGAAUGAAGAAGCCCAUGUUUGAUGCUUGUCUCCAGGGUGGAGUAUUGAAUUUAUAAACAAUGAAGUGGCAUCUGACACAUGACAAGCUGCUCCUGUUUGCACAGCAACUUCAACAUUGUGUACUGUGAUCACGGCAUAGUUCAGAGCUCCCGAGGGAAGGAGCAAACCGCCUUGAGGAGUCCCUGCAUAAGAGACUAUUGGAUAC
Pelobates fuscus (common spadefoot toad) is the source of this 338-nucleotide long non-coding RNA. RefSeq lists it as uncharacterized. The transcript has 3 exons. The record is from RefSeq and is a predicted model, not a curated record. Lineage: Eukaryota; Metazoa; Chordata; Amphibia; Anura; Pelobatidae.